Molecule: long non-coding RNA, 574 nt
Organism: Astatotilapia calliptera (eastern happy)
Lineage: Eukaryota; Metazoa; Chordata; Actinopteri; Cichliformes; Cichlidae
Source: Ensembl
CUGCGAUACAACACAUCUACAACUGCACAAGAGUUGCUAGCUGUAAAUAAAAGCUAUGUGCGUUUUCCUGGAAUUAAGUACAGCUGUGUGGCAAUGGAAAGGAAAAUGCACGAAGACGAUGAGAAACACUGAAUAACACAGACAAAGUGGGACAACGUGAGCAGAAAAACGUGUUUGUCAUCUGUGUCUCAAAUUAGCAUGGGCUAUGACACCAACAGAGUAAAUUCACAGACUCCGCCCUCAGCACCAUAGGCUCCAAUCGAAGCUGAAGUGAAGCCGUUUCAGAACAUUUUGCUCUACAUAUUUGAGUUGUUUGCCAUGCUUGGAUAUGCUUGUGAAGAUGGAAUAUGGGGGAGAGCAGAAGUGCGUUGAAGUUCCACAAAGGGAUGAAUGAAGGACAUGCAUAUUGUAUUAAAGAAAUAAGUCAUGAGAAUGCUGUUAUUUGCAUUUACCAUGUCAGACCUUUUGAUAAACAAAAUUCUAAUGAAAGUGAGAACAUGUAUACUGUUACAUCUUUCAGAAAAUGUUUUGAAAUUGGGGUGCACAGUUCAGAAUAAAUGUUUUUCAAAAACCA